RNAcentral lists this microRNA precursor (59 nucleotides) under Echinops telfairi (small Madagascar hedgehog). RNAcentral describes it as "Ete-Mir-31_pre stem-loop". It matches the Rfam family "mir-31 microRNA precursor family", at positions 12 to 71 of the family's 83-position model. Lineage: Eukaryota; Metazoa; Chordata; Mammalia; Afrosoricida; Tenrecidae. The record is from RNAcentral.
AGGCAAGAUGCUGGCAUAGCUGUUGACCUGAGAACCUGCUAUGCCAACAUAUUGCCAUC